Molecule: ribosomal RNA, 230 nt
Filed under: uncultured bacterium
Lineage: Bacteria
Description: partial 16S ribosomal RNA
Rfam family: Bacterial small subunit ribosomal RNA
Source: RNAcentral
AAGCGUGCGCAGGCGGUUUUGUAAGACUGUCGUGAAAUCCCCGGGCUCAACCUGGGAAUGGCGAUGGUGACUGCAAGGCUAGAGUUUGGCCAGAGGGGGGUAGAAUUCCACGUGUAGCAGUGAAAUGCGUAGAUAUGUGGAGGAACACCGAUGGCGAAGGCAGCCCCCUGGGUCAAAACUGACGCUCAUGCACGAAAGCGUGGGGAGCAAACAGGAUUAGAUACCCCAGU